CAGUGCUACAGCUCUUUUAGAAUUUGUCUGUCAGGUUUUCCAGUUUUCAUCGGAAACCCCCU
This 62-nucleotide small nuclear RNA is filed under the name Carlito syrichta (Philippine tarsier). Its description in RNAcentral is "U7 small nuclear RNA (ENSTSYG00000027815.1)". It matches the Rfam family "U7 small nuclear RNA". Rfam says of the family: Animal histone pre-mRNAs are spliced by a different mechanism than nuclear pre-mRNAs and self-splicing introns. This processing involves the U7 snRNP, which contains only one RNA species: U7. Lineage: Eukaryota; Metazoa; Chordata; Mammalia; Primates; Tarsiidae. The record is from Rfam by way of RNAcentral.